RNAcentral lists this unclassified non-coding RNA (190 nucleotides) under uncultured cyanobacterium. Its description in RNAcentral is "partial 16S-23S ribosomal RNA intergenic spacer". The record is from RNAcentral. Lineage: Bacteria; Bacillati; Cyanobacteriota.
CGGUUCGAGUCCGCUUACCUCCACUGAUCCACUACCUGAUAACUCAAAUUGGAGAUUGUUAUUUGUUAAAUGUGAUUUAGAUGUUGUUCAACUGAAGGAACCUAGCUUCCUAUCACUCCUGAAUUAAUUUUAGGCUGAUAAGACGCUGGGCUCACUGAAUGUUCUAAGGGAAAUUCAGUUUGUUUCAGCA